GAUGAACGCUGGCGGCGUGCCUAAUACAUGCAAGUAGAACGCUGAAGGAAGGAGCUUGCUCUUUCCGGAUGAGUUGCGAACGGGUGAGUAACGCGUAGGUAACCUGCCUGGUAGCGGGGGAUAACUAUUGGAAACGAUAGCUAAUACCGCAUAACAGUAGAUGUUGCAUGAUAUCUACUUAAAAGGUGCAAUUGCACCACUACCAGAUGGACCUGCGUUGUAUUAGCUAGUUGGUGAGGUAACGGCUCACCAAGGCGACGAUACAUAGCCGACCUGAGAGGGUGAACCGCCACACUGGGACUGGGACAAGGCCCAGACUCCUACGGGAGGCAGCAGUAAGGAAUCUUCGGGAAUGGACGGAAGUCUGACCGGGCAACGCCGCGGGGGGGAAGAAGGUUCUCGGGUCGUAAAGCUCUGUUGUAAGAGAAGAACGAGUGUGAGAGUGGAAAGUUCACGCUGUGACGGUAUCUAACCAGAAAGGGACGGCUAACUACGUG
Molecule: ribosomal RNA, 497 nt
Filed under: uncultured bacterium
Lineage: Bacteria
Description: partial 16S ribosomal RNA
Rfam family: Bacterial small subunit ribosomal RNA
Source: RNAcentral